CCAGGAAAAUGACCUAUGAAUUGACAGACUGCUUUCUAAAUUUGCCUGUCAUUUCCAUAGGCCAAUAUUCUGC
RNAcentral lists this microRNA precursor (73 nucleotides) under Nipponia nippon (crested ibis). Its description in RNAcentral is "mir-192/215 microRNA precursor family". It matches the Rfam family "mir-192/215 microRNA precursor family". Rfam says of the family: This family represents the human microRNA (miRNA) precursors mir-192 and mir-215. Animal miRNAs are transcribed as ~70nt precursors and subsequently processed by the Dicer enzyme to give a ~22nt product. The record is from Rfam by way of RNAcentral. Lineage: Eukaryota; Metazoa; Chordata; Aves; Pelecaniformes; Threskiornithidae. RNAcentral also lists the same sequence under 1 other name.